RNAcentral lists this ribosomal RNA (395 nucleotides) under uncultured bacterium. RNAcentral describes it as "bacterial SSU rRNA". It matches the Rfam family "Bacterial small subunit ribosomal RNA", at positions 505 to 898 of the family's 1533-position model. The record is from RNAcentral.
GUGCCAGCCGCCGCGGUAAUACGGAGGGUGCAAGCAUUGAUCGGAAUUACUGGGCGUAAAGGGCGCGCAGGCGGUCAGGAAAGUCAGAUGUGAAAUUCCGGGGCUCAACCCCGGAGCUGCAUUUGAAACUUCCUAUCUAGAGUUCAGUUAGGGAAAACGGAAUUCCACGUGUAGCGGUGAAAUGCGUAGAUAUGUGGAAGAACACCAGUGGUGAAGACGGUUUUCUGGGCUGAUACUGACGCUGAGGCGCGAAAGCAAGGGGAGCAAACAGGAUUAGAUACCCUGGUAGUCCUUGCCUUAAACGAUGCAUACUAGGUGUAGGGGGGCUCAACCCUUUCUGUACCGGAGCUAACGCAUUAAGUAUGCCGCCUGGGGAGUACGCUCGCAAGGGUGAA